AACAAGCCUGAGGACGCUACGGCGUGUCUGUCUGGCUGGGCCUUACCUCUUGGUGAGCCGGCGUGCCCUUUAUUGGUGUGCGUUGGGGAACCAGGACUUUUACCUUGAGAAAAUUAGAGUGUUCAAAGCAGGCCUGUGCCUGAAUACAUUAGCAUGGAAUAAUAAAAUAGGACGUGCGGUUCUAUUUUGUUGGUUUCUAGAGUCGCCGUAAUGAUUAAUAGGGAUAGUUGGGA
RNAcentral lists this ribosomal RNA (233 nucleotides) under Glomeromycetes sp. RNAcentral describes it as "partial small subunit ribosomal RNA". The stretch from base 83 to 233 matches the Rfam family "Eukaryotic small subunit ribosomal RNA", at positions 735 to 887 of the family's 1831-position model. The record is from RNAcentral. Lineage: Eukaryota; Fungi; Glomeromycota; Glomeromycetes.